RNAcentral lists this ribosomal RNA (492 nucleotides) under uncultured bacterium. Its description in RNAcentral is "partial 16S ribosomal RNA". It matches the Rfam family "Bacterial small subunit ribosomal RNA", at positions 29 to 507 of the family's 1533-position model. The record is from RNAcentral.
AGCGAACGCUGGCGGUGGGCCUAACACAUGCAAGUCGAACGGCAGAACAGUAAGAGCUUGCUCUUACGGGUGGCGAGUGACGGAUGGGUGAGGAAUACAUCGGAAUCUACUUUUUCGUGGGGGAUAACGUAGGGAAAUUUAUGAUAAUACCGAAUACGACCUAAGGGUGAAAGUAGGGGAUCUUCGGACAUUGGGCGAUUGAAUAAGUCGACGUGCGAUUGGUUAGUUGGUGGGGUAAAGGCCGACCAAGGCGAGGAACGGUAGCUGGUCUGAGAGGAGGAUCGCCCACACUGGAACUGGAAAACGGCCCAGACUCCUACGGAGGGCGGCAGUGGGGAAUAUUGGACAAAGGGCGCAAGCCUGAUCCAGCCAGACCGCGUGGGUGAAGAAGGCCUUCGGGUGGUAAGGCCCUUUUGUUGGGAAGGAAGAGCGGCAGGUUAAUAACCCGCUGUUCUGACGGUACCCAAAGAAUAAGCGCCGGCUAACUUCGUG